AAAAACAAAGCAUUGCGAUAGUCGUAUAUUGAUAUUAACGCAAUGUGAUUUCUGCCCAGUGCUCUGAAUGUCAAUGCGAAGAGAUUCGUUUAAGCACGGGUAAACGGCGGGAGUAACUAUGACUCUCUUAAGGUAGCCAAAUGCCUCGUCAUUUAAUUCGUGACGCGCAUGAAUGGAUUAACGAGAUUCCUACUGUCCCUAGCUACGACUCGGCGAACUCACAGCCAAGGGGAACGGGCUUGGCAAAAUCAGCGGGGAAAGAAGACCCUGUUGAGCUUGACUCUAGUCAGUUAAUGUCAAAUCUUGAGUGAGGUGUAGAAUAAGUGGGAGAUGGUUAAGAGCCGUCGAUCUUGAAAUACCACUACUCGCUUUGAGUAUUUUUACUACUCAGUUGAUUAGGGAUGGGAUCUGUGUUUCCAAACUCUUAUCACCUGCUAGGUCAAGUCUAAGA
RNAcentral lists this ribosomal RNA (451 nucleotides) under uncultured eukaryote. Its description in RNAcentral is "eukaryotic LSU rRNA". It matches the Rfam family "Eukaryotic large subunit ribosomal RNA", at positions 2147 to 2589 of the family's 3401-position model. The record is from RNAcentral.